CUGGACGCUGGUUUUCUCACUGAUCCUAAGACCGCCCAUUUUGCUAGGACAGAGAAACACUAGACGUCUGGUAGGAACCAUUCCGGAACCAGACCUAGGCUGGAACACAUAGCGUGAGCAACCCCUCCUGGACACGCAAGACUCUGCCUGUCACUUCCACCCCAGUUCCUGAACUGCGAAAAGGUGACCCCUGCCAGGUGGGUGCUGAUUCCAUGCCAGGUGGGCCCUGACCCUGAGCCCAGGUGGGUGCUGACUCCAGGCCAGAGGGGCACUGACUCCAGACUAGGUGGCCCACUAACUCAGCAAAGCUCCUGCCUGACUUCUUCCUACUACGGCAGCUCUCUUAUCUGGAAAUGGUGGGCUUGGAAGACAGCUGUCCUGUGGACACAGAAGAGACUGUGACACAGCACUCAGGACGCAGACCCAGGUCAAUUCCCAUUUGCCCACCUGUCCAUCCCCUUUCCCUGAGCCUCUGAGCAGAAAUGGAGGCCAAGAGCAGUCUCCACAUUUGCUCCCAUUCCAGCUGAGAGGGUCCCCAGGUCAGGGCUCUUAGUUGUGUCCAGGCAGGAUGGAAGCCAAAGGACCCCAGAGAGAGAGAACCCAAGAAGGCCAUGCUCUCCUGCCAAGUCAGGGUUUGGAAAUGCACAGACUAAUCCUAACAGGUCUCUCCAGGGUGUCCCCUCACCAGGGGAAUCCCAUUUGCACACGUUUUGUACUAAAACACAGAUGUCCUCUGUCGUGGAAUGCAAAAUUUCUAUGAAAUUCUAUUUAAAAAAUAGAAAUGUUGAAGAAAUUUUGAACUUAAGAUAGGCUAUUUGAAGUUGUACCCAGAGAUCCUGGUGGGUUCACCCAUUUCAUGCCCUCUGAUUUUAAAACUAUGUCCACAGAGAUGUCUGAGAAACUUCAUAGAAAGUCACCACCAGCCACUAACUCUGUAGUAAGAGUGAACUUUACAGGGGCCCAUAGAGGGUGGGGUGUGGGGUUGUAUCUUGGGGAGGCCACCAUGUGGGGCAUAUCUGAAAGGACAAACAAGCAGGGCAAGGCAGGAGCCCAUCCCAGGUGCCCCAGACAUGCCAUCUCCAGUCCCCUUUCCCUGAAGCCCUCCCAGGCUCUGCGUCCCCACAACUCGUGGCCCCAGACCCACUAUGAGAACAGGCUGGACAUUCAGGGACCACUUUCCAAGAUAAGACUGUGGCUAUGGCGGGGGGGGGGGGGGGGGGGGGUGUGGAUCCUGCAAGGAUAUGUGCAUAGCUGUGCACAGCGAGGACCCCAGACAGAAUUAGCCUGCAUUUCCAGGGACAUGAUUCCCUGCCAUUAGCUUCAGCUCUGUAAAAUAGCCCAAAUGAAAGGCGGCAAAAACCCAGAAGGUGGGGAGACAACACAGAUAUCAUUUUUUACCACUUUCAGAAGCCCCCAGGGUGGCUCCGGUCCAGACUGGAGAGCCCAGCCAGUGCUCUGGGGCAGGGCCUUGCGCCCCCUCCCCCUCCUCUCCCCUCUUCUCUCCCCUCCCCUUCCUGGAUCUCCCUCUCUCCUCCCCUCUCCACUUCCUCCUCUUCUCUUCCCACCUUUCCCCCCUCCCUUCUCCCUACCCAUCCCUUUCCUCUCCCCUCCCCCUCCUUUACUCCCACCCCUUCUCCUCCCCUCCCCCACCAGCCCAAGCCUCCAGGACCAUCCCCUUCUGCCAAGAACCUGUCCACCUCUCUGUGCUUUGUGUCCUGUGGAAAAGGUCUGACCUGUGAUCAGGCCUUGCUUUGCACUGUCUGUGUGGCUUAGAGGUCCACGGUUCUGUGCCUCAGUCUGCACGUAGAAGCUCGGGUGGCACAACAGCACUACCACAUAAGUGGCUGGUGUCCUCCCAGCUGCCACCCCGUCCAACCCCAUGGCACUGGCUCCUCCUCCCAGGCCAGCUCAAUGACAUGGACCUCCCUCCCUCCUGCCCCAAAGCAUUUCUAGCUCUUGAUUUUCUGUAAAAUCAAUCCCAAGUGCCUCCUGUGGCAUCCAGCCUGCAGAGUUCCUGCGCCCUCCCACCAUCCACCUCAGCCAGUACCCAUAGCUCAUGUUCUGGGACAAGCUGCCCACAUACACCCUUCCCCAGGGGUCCAUGACCCUACAUGUGCAUUGCUUAAUUCUCUCCCCUGCUACGUGUGCACACUAAAGGGUGGGUGUGUAACUCAAGCGGACCCAUCAGGGGCAGACAUUCCUUGGGAAGGGUGGUGUUUGGUGUGAAGCCUGGAAUUGCAGCAGCUAUUUUGUGUGCAUGUGGGAAAGCACACUUUGGAACAAGGCUGACCAGGCACAAGGCAGAGAUUGAAGAAAUUGGGGCCUUGAAAGCAUUACUGAGUCACAGUAGGAAACCAAAUCCAAACCCACCCCACCCCACCCUCUCACCCCCUGCUUCAGGACAGUCUCAUGCAUAGCCCCAUACUGGCAGAGACAGCUUGGUUUGGCUUUUCUGGUACUUGCAGCCAUUCUGGCAGAUGCACUCCCUCUGAUUGGUCUCCAUCUUUGCACCUACUUCCUGGAUGCCCCAGGCAUUGGGAAGCCAUCUGUCUGACAUGUCUAGUCCAUCCACGUUGAUGACCACCACGUGGCUGGCACUGAUGGUCAAGUCCCCAUACACCUGCAGAAUUGGCCCUGCCCAGAAGUGAGACCUGCAGCCAGAGUGGGUGAAGCGGAGACCCACUAUGUGCCACAGGAAACUGGAGUCUCCAGUCAACAGUUGCCAUGGACCUGGCACCCCAUGUGGUUGCCUGGGCUGUGGUCACAGCUCCUUUUGAAAGGACACAGACAGCAGGGACCAGGGCCUCAUAGGCUUUGGAGACUUUGUAGUUUUCUCCAUAUUUAUUUUCUUCUCUCCAGCCUUUUCUAAGAGACAGGCUAAAAUCCCCGCCCCUUGGCAGGAGGUGAGAAAGUCACCAAGCUGGGAUUUAUGAGCAAACCAUAGGCCUGAGGGCUCCUAGCUCCGCAUCAUUCUCUCAGAGGAGCCGCAGGUUUUCCGUACACAGCAGCUGGCAUCUGAUUUCAGAGGCAGCGCUGGGCAGACCAGCCGGUAUCCAGUGUUUUUUUUUUUCCAAUCCCCUGAAAUGUGUUUUGUGAUUCUGGAAGCUUCAGUGGGUCUGCAAUUACAAGUAGCCCUUAUUAAAAAUUGGUGCGGCCUCCCACAUCAAACAAAAUUAAUCAGUAACAAGCUGUAAUGGUAUUAGGUCACUUCCCAGCGUGGUAAGUCAGGGCAGCCCUAUCUGAUUGGCUGAUGUGAAGCCUCAGGAAUUCUCCUGCAUUUAUCUGUGUGCCCAGAGCUUUGCACAAGAUGUUUGUCUUUGCUUGAAUUCCAUGUGGGUAUUGUCUUACUGAAUACAUUCCGACUGACCUGGCGGGUGUGUCUUGCGGGACACACACCAGGAGUCGGCCGUCUGGUUCUGGCCAAGAACGUCAGGAAGCCCAUGGCCCUGGGACCUACAGCGCACCCUCCUCUACUAGCAGUGGUGUGGAUGGUCCUCCUGCGGCCAACAUCACCUCUGGGCAUGUUCCUCAGGUGGCUGGCAGAGGAACAUGUGAGCAGCACAAGAAAUUUAUCAGGACUGAUCCCCACAAGCACUCCUUUGUCUUCAGCAUGGCCUGGCCCACGGGGCCCUGCAUCCCCAUCCUAUUGGCCCCACACCUGCCUCGGCUCUGCCCUCUCGCUGGCCCCCACAGCCGCCCAGACCUGAGCUGCAUAGCAGUGCCACUCGACAGAUCCUCUUCCUAUAGACAGUUUGGGAAAGGUGGGCCCUUGUUCCCUGCCCUGGAUUUGUGGGUGGGCUUGUAACAACAGCAGAAGCAAUGUACGUAAUGUGGGGUUCAGGGCGUUAGUGCUGGCCUUGUCUUACAUAGGCACUAGAGGACACAGGUUCCUGGGACGCCAUGCUAUAAGGAAGCCCAAGCUGGCCCAUACAGAGAAGCUGAGGGGAGAAGCCUGUGAGAGCUCUGAGGACGCUAGAGCCAGAAGCAUCCAAGCCUUGCCUGGUUUGCCGAGCUUCAUUCCUGGCCUUAGAUAAAGGGUGCAGCAGCUUUUGGUGGUCCCCUGUGGUGCAGGCUCUUCCUGCUCAGACCCAUAGCUCAUUCUGUCCCCUUCCUUGUUCUUCAUUAAAUGUCCAGUGCUUAGAGCCAUGCUGGGCACGAGGGGAAGGCUCCAGAGUACGCCCAUGGGUCAAAUACCUGAGUGAACAUGUGAUGAAUGGCACCGUUUCCUCUACCCCAGUGGCAAAUGGAGGGACAGUAAUCCCAACAGUGGACAUGGACUGUCUGGCCACAGCCCAGAAUCCAGAGGACAGAAGCCGAUGCUGACUCCAGGGCCCCCAUUGACUGGAGAGGCCUCUGCCCCAUCUGCACCUGGAUAUCCAGCACAGGAGCAAGAGAGAAGUCAGAAUUUCCACCAUGUCUCAGGAGCCUAGGCCUGGACCCUUCCCUGCAAGAUGAUCUGGCCAGGAAGAAAGACGCAGGGGAGCCCCAGGGUCCUGCCCCACCCAGCCUGCCCUAGCAGGUGGAGUGGACUGCUUGUCACCUAUGGUCAGUACAUGGUGGGCAGCAGCCUCAGCUGGUUCUCAUUCACCCUAGGAAAGAAAGGGCUGGGUCACCCUUACCCACAGUAUUGGGUAGGGUGGGCAGGGAGCACAUGCUGUGCGGGCUGGACCAGGCCAGGCUCUAAACUUGGCCAGGGACAAAGUUAUUGUUUGAUUGUUGUCUGGCUAUGUGGACAAGAGUGGCUCUGAUAUAGAUUCUGGGGUUUUUUUUUUUUAUGUCUUAUGUCACAUAAAUACCCACACAUGCACAUGUACAGACAUCCAUCUACAUGACACAGGUAUGACACAUGUACAUGUCCUUCGUGUGUAUGUAUACACAAGGAAACAAAACAGUCCCACUAACUUUUCAACACUGGUCUAUUUUCCUGGUUUUUUGUGUGUAACAGGAGGUUAUCGAUGUCAUCAAGAUUCUGAACAAUUUUGCAGAGCCACCUGGAGUUCUGUUGCAGGGAUGUGCACACCUUAUUCACCCAAUCUCCUAUUCCUGAACAACAGACUUCACUCCUUGCUGUGUUCAAUCCUGCUUAUUUUCCAUAAGGGUUCCUUAUAGCAGAGUUCACCUGGGGCUUCCGGGACAAG
RNAcentral lists this long non-coding RNA (5138 nucleotides) under Marmota monax (woodchuck). Lineage: Eukaryota; Metazoa; Chordata; Mammalia; Rodentia; Sciuridae. The record is from RNAcentral.